GGGGAGGUGCCAGAGUGGUCGAUUGGGGCGCACUGCUAAUGCGUUGUAGGGGCUUAAACCUCUACCCAGGGUUCGAAUCCCUGCCUCCCCGCCA
RNAcentral lists this transfer RNA (94 nucleotides) under Pseudomonadota bacterium. Its description in RNAcentral is "tRNA-Ser". It matches the Rfam family "tRNA". From Rfam's summary of the family: Transfer RNA (tRNA) molecules are approximately 80 nucleotides in length. Their secondary structure includes four short double-helical elements and three loops (D, anti-codon, and T loops). The record is from RNAcentral. Lineage: Bacteria; Pseudomonadati; Pseudomonadota. RNAcentral also lists the same sequence under 1 other name.